GAGUACAACAAAUAUAGCAAAUAAACUUAGGCAGUAGAACUGCACUUGUAUGCAAUAGAUCUACUACACAUGGAGAGAAACAGAGAGGUUUAGGGGAUUAGGAUUAGACCGUCGAGGCGUCCAUGGCGUCGGUGUUGAGGCAGUGGUGGCGCUUCCCGACGCUGCUGCACUGGCCGAUCGGAUGGCACUAGGGUUAGAGUCGAGUGGGGCAAGCAGCAUGCUGUGGCGAACUUCCGCACCGUGCUUGCGGCCCCCACUUCUAUACUUAUAGUGCAACGCGCCAGGGGCCCACCACUCCAAUGGGUGGUUGAGCGCCCCCGAUCAGGGCUUGGUCAAAGGGGAACUGGCUCCAACCGUUGGGCUGGUUUAGAGAUCAACCUAACAUUCUCCCCCUUGAUCUUAUCUAUGCUCUUAUGCUUCACCAACCCACCUCAUCACAAAUAAAUAUAUUGGACAUGUUUCAUCAUGACAGUAAUUACCGUUAGAUUGGACAGCCACAAACACUUUUCUGUUUAGAGAUGAAUUCUUGCCUUGGGCCCCUUACUAUCCAGGAAUCACAGGCUUUCCCUUAAACCCAUGCCGGCUAUAUGUUCUCUGAACACAUUGGGCGGUAAGCCUUUCGUAAGCGGAUCCGCUAGCAUCUUUUCUGUGCUUAUAUGUUCAAGACUUAUGACGUGAUCCCGGAUUUUAGCCUUCACAACAUAAUAUUUUAUGUCAAUGUGCCUGGUGGCAUUGCUUGACUCAUUGUUGUGAGCAUACAACACUGCUGGCUCGUUGUUACAAUACAACUUUAGUGGUUUAUCGAUGCUGUCGACCACCUCUAAACUGAGUAUAAAUUUCUUAAGCCAAUUCACCUGUCCUGAUGCCUCAUAACAAACAAUAAACUCAGCAUACAUUGUGGACGAUGCAGUGACUAUUGUUUGUUUUGAGCUUUUCCAUGAUAUGGCUCCUUGCGCGAGAGUGAAUAUAUACCCUGAGGUAGACUUUCUAUCAUCUCCCGCGUAAUCAGAAUCUGAAUACCCUACUAUUUGUAGGUCAUCAGAUCUUGUAUAAGUCAACAUGAGCCCUUUCGUGCCUUGCAAGUACCUUAGGACUUUCUUUACUAGAUUCCAGUGUUCCAUACCUGGAUUACUUUGAUAUCUGCCAAGUAGCCCGGUCACAAAAGCCAGGUCUGGGCGUGUGCACACUUGAGCAUACUGUAAGCUUCCGACAGCUGAAGCGUAUGGAACGGCUUGCAUGCGAUCGCGCUCGAACUUGCUCUUGGGACAUUGAUGUUCCCCAUACUUGUCACCUUUUACAAUAGGAGCAGGUGAAGGUCUACACUUAUGCAUAUUGAAUUUCUUCAAUAUUUUCUCUACAUAUGCCUCUUGGGAUAAUCCCAAUACCCCUCGACUUCUAUCUCGGUGAAUCUUUAUGCCCAAGACAAAAGAAGCUUCACCUAAAUCUUUCAUAUCGAAAUUUGAAGACAAAAAUAUGUUGGUUUCCUGCAGGCUGCAGCAGAGUGACAUCACUACUGGCUAGUAGAAUGUCAUCUACAUACAGUACUAGGAAAAUGUAUUCCCAUUCUUAAACUUUGCAUAUACGUAAUUGUCCUCAACGUUCUCUUUAAACCCAAACUUUCUGAUAGUCUUAUCAAACUUCAAAUACCACUGCCUGGAUGCUUGCUUUAAUCCAUAAAUGGAUUUCUUCAAACGACAGCCCAUUCUUUCUUUGCCUGUCACAACAAAACCUUUCGGUUGUACCAUGUAUACUCUUUCUUCUAGAUCCCCAUUGAGGAAAACUGUCUUCACAUCCAUUUGAUGCAAUUCUAGAUCAAAAUAUGCCACUAGGGCCAUUAUGAUUCUAAAAGAGUCCUUGCUCGAGAUGGGAGAGAAUGUUUCAUUAUAAUCUAUCCCUUCUCGUUGAGUAAAACCCUUGGCUACCAGUCUUGCUUUGUACCUUUCUAUGUUCCCCUUGGAGUCACAUUUCACCUUGUAGACCCAUUUGCAGCCUACUGUUUUGGCUCCUUCAGGAAUUUCCUCUAGGUCCCAAACUUUAUUGGUACUCAUAGACUUUAAUUCAUCUUCCAUGGCUUCUUGCCACUUAGAUGCUUCGGUGCUCCUCAUGGAGACUUUCUCGCUCUUUGAGGUCUACCAGAAGUUUCUGCUACUGGCAUUUCUUCUUGAGGUUGCUCUUGUUGGGGCUGUUGUUCUUCGACUAUGGGUUCAUUCGGCUCCUGAGGGACAGGUUCCAAAUUAGCCAUAGGCGAAAAAGCAGCAGGUGUUGUCACUACUGGUGUAGAUCCAACAACAACAGGCAGCGUAAAGUAGGGUUCUUGCACCAUGGGAAUGGGCACGAACACCCGCUUCUCUUCAAGGGUAAUUUCUCGCGCUGCCUUGCUCCCCCUGAUCAUCUGAUCUUCUAGAAAACUAGCGUGUCUCGUUUCCACAAACUUGGUAUGUCUACCAGGGCAGUAGAAACGAUAACCUUUCGACUUUUCUGGAUAGCCAAUGAAAUGACAACUUACUGUUUUAGGGUCUAGCUUUCCUAUGUUUGGGUUAAAUACUUUUGCUUCAGCAGGGCUCCCCCAGACACGCAGAUGGUUGACUGAGGGUUUCCUACUGGUCCACAACUCAUACGGGGUUUUAAGUACUGACUUGCUUGGAACUCUGUUGAGAAUAUGAAUGGCGGUUUUUAAAGCCUCCAUCCACAAACUCAGUGGCAGAGUGGAAUAGCUCAUCAUGCUGCGCACCAUAUCCAUUAGAGUACGGUUACGCCUUUCUGCUACUCCAUUCUGCUGUGGGUCCCCUGGCAUUGAAUACUGGGCUACUAUGCCAUUUUCCUGUAAGAACCUCGCAAAAGGUCCAGGAACUUGUCCAUAAGGGGUAUGUCGACCGUAGUACUCCCCCCCACGGUCAGAUCUUACUACUUUGAUUUUUCUGUCUAGUUGGUUUUCAACCUCAGCUUUGAAUAUCUUAAAUUUGUCUAAAGCUUCUGAGCGUUCUUUGAUUGGAUAGAUAUAUCCAAAACGAGAGUAGUCAUCUGUGAAUGUGAUGAAGGAAUCAAAACCAUCCACAGAUGUCACUGGAAAAGGUCCACAGAUGUCUGUGUGGAUCAAUUCUAGUACUCCUGUGCUUCGCUUAGCGCCUUUCUUUAUGUUCUUUACUAACUUGCCUUUAAUGCAAUCGACGCAUUGCUCUAACUCUGAGAGUUCUAGUGGUGGGAGGAUUGAUUCUUUGACUAAGCGUUCUAUUCUCCCCCUCGAAAUAUGGCCUAAACGACAGUGCCAUAAUUUCGAUGAGGAAUCAAUUCUCUUUCUUUUCUUGCUAGCAUUUACGGUCAUUGCAUUCUCAGCUUUAUUACAUUCAGCAUUCAUAGUCUCAGACAUGAAUAAUAAAUAAGGUUUGUCUUGUCGGAAGGCAAGACCCACAUAUUUAUUAUUUAACUAUAGCUUACAAUCAUCUUUGCUUGAAGGGAACAUAAAAGACAUCAUGUAAAACCCUUUGUCUAGGCAUUGACCUGAUUCUGCACUUUCUCGAGGUAUUCUUUUGCUGUGGGAUUGCACUAAUGAAGUGCAUCACUUGCUCUGAAAUAAUGACGAGAAGAUGGUGAGAACACCAACAUUUAAAACUUGGUAGAAUAAUUGAAUAUCUUAAUUGAACAUUGGUCAAAAUCAAGAUAUACAAAAAUUAACUCGCUGCAUAAAAUCUAAUCACCGUUGGGCAAAAUAGAAUUAAAUGCUUAAAAUUGGAACUUGGUAUUUACAAUAUUGCUAUUUUUAACGUUGGUCAAAAAAUAACGAUAUUACAAAAAUUUCUGGGCUUCGAACCUUGUUUCUCGAAUUAAAUAUCCCGUUGGUUCAAUUUAAUAAGAGAACUAAAAUGUCUUGCGCAGCGGAAAACGUAAAUUAACUUGCUAGAAUCGUAACUUGCUGUAACUUGGAAUUUGCAAUAUUGUUAUUAUUGACGUUGGUCAAAAAUUAACAAUAUUACAAAGAAUUCUGUGCUUGAAAACUCGGCUUCUCAAAUUAAAUAUCCCGUUGGUUCAAUUUAAUAUGAGAAUUAAAACUAUAACUUGCGCAGCGAAAAAUAUUAAUUUACUUGAUAUUUUCAGAAGCAUAUCUGGCUGACUGUGCUUUCUAAUUAAUAUACACUUUGGUGCAAAUUAAAUAGAAUUUAAAACUGAGCAAAAAACAAUUAUUCAAAAGCUUCUGAAAAUAAAAUGAAAAAGGUUACUGUGCUGGUUUGGGCCGGGGCGAACGAAGUGCCCCACAUCCACUUUCGGCUCAGCCCGGCUAGCGGCUCAGCAGCGCGCAGCGCCUAGCCCAGCCUGUGGCGAUUUUUUUUUCUUUCCCUCUCGGCCCAUCAAGCAAAGCGGCCCGCGCGCUCGCUCUCUGUCUGGGCUUGGCCCAGCUCGGCCGCCCGCUUGCUCCUCCCCGCGCCCAGGCCGCAACCUGGGCCUGGGCCGGGAAUCUGCGCCCCCGCCUGGGCCAUAUUUGGCCUGACGCAAUCGCGGCCGUUGAUCUGCAUCCGACGGCCCUCCUUUAUCUCGGGUGAACAAAAUCCCCCAGUUAGCUGCCACUGAAGCCCUAGCCCUCAUUCUUGCCUGCGCCCUCUCUCUGCGCACCGGACGGCAGGGAGCCGCCGCCGCCGGCACCGCGGCCAGCAGCAGGGCCACCGCCGGCGAUGGCCUUCUCUUGCUUGUUCUCGCUCGCGUCUCGCGUCUUCCUCUCCAGCCCGCGCCGCGCCCCGCAGUAAAACGCCACCGUAGCGGCAGCGGUUACCUUCGGCGGCCGGAGAAGAAUGGCGCCGCCGCGGCUCCUAUCGCUGGAGCGCGCGCUCCCCUUAGUGGGUGAGCGCGGCGCCGUCGAUGGGGUUCGCGUCGGUGCCCUGCGCUUGGGCUGUCCCUGCUGUCCGCCCCGUCGGCCAUGGUGGCGGCCGGCGGCGUGGUCGGAUGGACGAGCUCAGGUAGGAACGCCCCCUUUCCUUGUUGCUUUUAGGGUUAGGGUAUCGAAAUCCCCUUCCCCGAUCUGGGUCUUGUGCUAGGGUUGAGGUUUUGGAUCUGGACGCUAGGGUUAGGAAAAACUCGAUUUUCUGGGUAGGGUUGGGAUUUCGAAAAAUCCUCUCCUUCUACUUGCUGUUCUUUUGCUUUUCUCGUGCUUGUCUCGCGGGUGAAUCCCAAAUUCAAUCUAUAUGCUAGAUCGGCUCUGAUACCAUUGAUAGAAAUUUAGGAUCAUCUAGCAGUAGAAUAGAUCGGGAUUCGAGUACAACAAAUAUAGCAAAUAAACAUAGGCAGUAGAACUGCACUUGUAUGCAAUAGAUCUACUACACAUGGAGAGAAACAUAGAGGUUUAGGGGAUUAGGAUUAGACCGUCGAGGCGUCCAUGGCGUCGGUGUUGAGGCAGUGGUGGCGCUUCCCGACGCUGCUGCACUGGCCGAUCGGAUGGCACUAGGGUUAGAGUCGAGUGGGGCAAGCAGCAUGCUGUGGCGAACUUCCGCACCGUGCUUGCGGCCCCCACUUCUAUACUUAUAGUGCAACGCGCCAGGGGCCCACCACUCCAAUGGGUGGUUGAGCGCCCCCGAUCAGGGCUUGGUCAAAGGGGAACUGGCUCCAACCGUUGGGCUGGUUUAGAGAUCAACCUAACA
RNAcentral lists this long non-coding RNA (5624 nucleotides) under Sorghum bicolor (sorghum). Its description in RNAcentral is "long non-coding RNA (SBIC_LNC016822)". Lineage: Eukaryota; Viridiplantae; Streptophyta; Magnoliopsida; Poales; Poaceae. The record is from RNAcentral.